Molecule: RNA transcript, 2294 nt
Organism: Xenopus laevis (African clawed frog)
Lineage: Eukaryota; Metazoa; Chordata; Amphibia; Anura; Pipidae
Gene: hrob.S
Gene name: homologous recombination factor with OB-fold S homeolog
Exons: 10
Source: RefSeq, a predicted model, not a curated record
ACCCACGACUGAAACGCAAAUCAUUUCACUGCGUUCCAAACGCCGGAAGUGUGGUGUCGGAAGUACCAUAUUCAAACUUCGCGUUCAGUCCUGGGAACAGCAGUAGCAGCGGAUUCAUACGGUUCUAUCGCAGCCUGGGGCAGCUGAAAUGUCAGUCUCCGGGGUUUUAGCAGCGUGACCCAGGGGACAUGGCUCUAAGUUUCCAAAACCUAUUUUCUUCAGAAAAUGAUGAUUUUGAUGAUGAGGACUUUCUGUUGGCGUUGGACAAUACGGAGGAGAGCGUCUUUCACGCAGCGCCUUCAGGAACGAGAUCUCUCAGGCCCAUAUGUACAGAUGAACCAAAAAGCCAGGCUCCUCCUCCCUGGCACACAAUGUGGAAUCAAGAAGAGAUGGGGAAGCAGGACCCAAUGGGGAUGCCGUAUGAUCUUGCCCAGGACAUGGAUGAUGAAGAGCUGUUAUCUGUCUGCAGCAUGAUAGAGGUCCCACAGAGACCCUCCGAGGCACAAAAAGCUGGUCAGUCUGUGAGUGUUCCAAUGCAGGAUGGAACUAGUAGGAAGAACUCCUCAUCUGUCAGACUGCGCCCAACUGGAGAAGCUUGUGUUGGGUUCCAGGCGCCUAAUCCCAGAGCCAGUUUUAAGGUUACUGCAGUGUGCCAGCCAGGCAGUGUUUGUGCCGAUUCUCCAUCUCCCCUGCAGAUACAUUCAAUAGAGACUGAGCACUUUCAGAGUCCACGCCCCACUGCCAAGAGGCCUUGUAGAAGGGACAUGAUAGACCCUCAAUCUGUAGAGGCUCAAAAUCACCGUAGCCCUUCUGUUCAGCUGCUGCCUCAUCAAGUGAGAACACCUAGCACUGUACAAGGAGCGGGAGCUCUUUGCACCGAACUAGCCCCAUUCCCAGCGCCCACUCAACUCCUCUCCCACGUCCGCUCAUUCCCAAUUCCUUCCAGACCCCGAUGCUAACCAACCAUUUAGUGCAGCUGGUGACUGCAGCCAAUCAGACGCCAAGGAGACGGCUAUGGGAGACGCCGCCACCAAAAGAGAGGAGGUUCCCUGGACCAGCUGGCUUAUUGCCGCAGCAGGGUAAUGCCAGGGGGCUGGAUGAGAUUCUUGUAUCGACUCCUCAUACUCCAGCUCAUGGGGCAAGAGCCAAGCUUGGCACUAAGGCAAGCAUGGCUUCUCAGCAGCAAACUGAAGAGGAGUUUGGCAGAGGUCCGUGGGCAGCCUUGAAAGCUGAGUUGGCAUUGGAUGAGAAUGAUCCCUGCUGCUUCCUAAGGACAUACAGUGUAGUGAUGGUGCUGCGUAAGGCGGCUCUGAAGCAGCUCCCAAAAAACAAGGUCCCACAAAUGGCCGUGGCUCUCAAAUCCCUUACUCCAGCCAAUGGCGAUGCUAGUGCCGUAUUCAGAGACCACACAGGUGAUAUUCAGGGCACUGUCCACCACCUAUUACUGGAGGAGAAAGAAAGUGACCUGAAGGUCGGCAGUGUCCUUUUAUUACAACAGGUCGGAGUCUUCUCCCCAUCUCAUCGCAACCACUAUCUCAAUGUGACCCCUAACAACCUGGUGAAAAUCUACCCCCCGGAGGAGGAAGGCCCCCAUACAUCGAUAGAAGCUCCACCAGGGUCAAGUGAGCAGACUGAUUUGAACAGUAAUCAUGUUGGGACCCCAGCUUGUCCAUCAGUCUCUAUAAGAACAGCUGGAGACCCACAGCCAUUAUCACUUGAAGAAUGGGAUAUGGAUGACCUGGAUUCUCUCCUCUGUGACCUUCCCGAGGAUACUGGGACUGAAUCCACUCUAACAUGACCUGCCCUUUAGUGUGAUCACCCCAUUAGCAGGAUGGAGCACUCCCGAAAUGAAUGUUGCUCUCCUGGUAUCUGGGGCCUAUUUGUGGAUCUCACAUAACUCCUAUAGAUCCACUAGAGAAUGUGUCUUAACAUAUAAACACUAAGCUCUGGCUGAGCAGAUUUGCUUUAUUAUAAUGCCCGUACUGCAGUGUUACUUACUGUAUAGGAUAUCCCAUCAGGCACUGCAGGUGUUCAUUAGAAAGAAAAAUGUAAAUAUAGUAAAGGGCUUGAAACUGUACAGCGGAAGUUAUACUGUUAUGUGAAUGACAACUACAAGGGGCCCCUGUCUGGUGGUGUGUGCCGACCCCUGUAAAAGGUUAUCAUGGAAAAAACUUAAAACUGCUAUUUAAAAGCAGAACUCUUAACUAGACUGAAUAACAUGCUUUUGUAUAACUGACUGUGUAUAUUUCUGUUUCUGUAUAUUGAAGUUCAUAAAAAUAAAUAAGUUUCCUUGA